RNAcentral lists this non-coding RNA (27 nucleotides) under Mus musculus (house mouse). Lineage: Eukaryota; Metazoa; Chordata; Mammalia; Rodentia; Muridae. The record is from RNAcentral.
UAGAUUAUUGCACAUCAGUGUGAGAGG